UCGAAAACCGCAACGGUUCCGUUGUAGAAAAUCGUCAAAGGAGCAGUUUGAGGAGGAUUCUCCAAAGCAGGCCUUUGAAGGGGAUAAUAGACGGGUAAACGUGGAAAUGGAGUCUGUUCUUUAGGAGCAGCAGGCACCGAAAAUGACUUUUUGGAAUCGAAGUGAUAGCCAUUUUCUGGAGUACUCUGCUGAUUGGCAGAACCAGAGGCAAUGACAGACUUGAGAAGCUCAGGAUUGAUUUUUGAUAUAGCGCUCUGAAUAUCUCGAAAGCUCCUCUGGCGAUUAAGGAACUUAGGGAAAUGAGAGUUAGCGCAGAUCUGCUUCUCCAUGCCAAAGAAAUCAAGCUCGACAGUUGCUCUCGACAUCUUAAUUUGUUUAUCUGAUUAAAUCGAGAAUGUGGUGAAGGCAGAUAAACUUAAAUGCAAG
This 426-nucleotide unclassified non-coding RNA is filed under the name Hevea brasiliensis (rubber tree). The record is from RNAcentral. Lineage: Eukaryota; Viridiplantae; Streptophyta; Magnoliopsida; Malpighiales; Euphorbiaceae.